RNAcentral lists this long non-coding RNA (725 nucleotides) under Heterocephalus glaber (naked mole-rat). RNAcentral's name for it is "lncRNA (ENSHGLG00100045580.1)". The record is from RNAcentral. Lineage: Eukaryota; Metazoa; Chordata; Mammalia; Rodentia; Bathyergidae.
GUCUGUGAAGGUCCGCGUCUCCGCGCGGCGUGGUGCUCACGGCUGUGGGGAAGCAGGGCGCGCGCCCUGUGGGGCGGGCUCUUGCCUGCGGACAGAUGGAGGGUCACCUUGUUCCGAGGAGAGUCAGGCACCCGAUGUGAGGGAGGAUGUGAAACGGAACGACCCGUUUAGUAUCUGGAAAGUCAAGUAUGUGUUUCAGUUUCCUCGCUUUAGACCUAUUGAGAGCGAACUCAGGACCCUGCACUUGCCAGGCAGGCAUGGCCCCACUGAGCUACAUCCCUGGUCGGAAAUGCAGAUUUAAUAAGGACUCUGCCCAUUGGGGAUGGAACUCCGGUCCUUGCGUUUGCGAAGCAGGCAGCGAAACCACUGAGCUAAAUCCCCGGCAAAACCUCAUCUCUUAAAGGACCCAAGAUAUACCAAUCUUCCCUGGACUGUGCCUUAAUACAGAGGAAUUUUGAGAUAUAAACUGUAGCACUUCUAGGUAUUUGUCAGGUAAAAGGGCCGAAAACCAAGACCAGACCAGGGCACAACAAGCCUUUAUUAAGGAACAGAUCUGCUGGGCUGUCUCUGAACAAAGGAGAGACAAAAAGCAAUACGGCCGGGGCCGGGAGAGUCUUUUGGAGAGACUGGGGUGUGGCUUGUAGGGGCUGAGGUGGGGUUGAGUGAGGUAGUGACUAGGGAAUGGAGGAGCCGGUGACGUCACUAGGUGGUAGGAGGUGAGCUAG